CGAACGUCGCUUCGGCGGCUAUUAGCGUGGCGGAAGGGCGAGUAACACGUGGGUAACCUGCCCUCGAGAUGGGGACAACCUCGGGAAACUGAGGCUAAUACCGAAUGAUAUGCCAUGGUCGCAUGACCGCGGCAUCAAAGGCGGGGACCCGCUUCGGCGGGCCUGUCGCUCGAGGAGGGGCUCACGGCCUAUCAGCUUGUUGGUGAGGUAACGGCUCACCAAGGCCGAGACGGGUAGCCGACCUGAGAGGGUCGUCGGCCGCACUGGGACUGAGACACUGCCCAGACUCCUACGGGAGGCAGCAGAGGAGAAUCAUUCGCAAUGGGCGAAAGCCUGACGGUGCGACGCCGCGUGAGGGAUGAAGGCCCUAGGGUUGUAAACCUCUGUCGGGGGUUAAGAACGCCGGGGGCGCUAAUAUCGCCUCCGGGUGACUAGCUCCAAAGGAAGUUCCGGCUAACUACGUGCCAGCAGCCGCGGUAAUACGUAGGGAGCAAGCGUUACUCGGAAUUACUGGGCAUAAAGGGCGUGUAGGCGGGUGCGUGAGUCCGAUGUGAAAGCCCCCGGCUCAACCGGGGAAUGCCAUCGGAUACUGCGUGCCUAGAGUUCGGGAGGGGAGAGUGGAACUCUUGGUGGAACGGUGAAAUGCGUAGAUAUCAAGAGGAACGCCGGUGGCGAAAGCGGCU
This 683-nucleotide ribosomal RNA is filed under the name uncultured bacterium. RNAcentral describes it as "bacterial SSU rRNA". It matches the Rfam family "Bacterial small subunit ribosomal RNA", at positions 67 to 726 of the family's 1533-position model. The record is from RNAcentral.